AUUGAACGCUAGCGGGAUGCUUUACACAUGCAAGUCGAACGGCAGCGCGGACUUCGGUCUGGCGGCGAGUGGCGAACGGGUGAGUAAUGUAUCGGAACGUGCCCAGUAGCGGGGGAUAACUACGCGAAAGCGUAGCUAAUACCGCAUACGCCCUACGGGGGAAAGCAGGGGAUCGUAAGACCUUGCACUAUUGGAGCGGCCGAUAUCGGAUUAGCUAGUUGGUGAGGUAACGGCUUACCAAGGCGACGAUCCGUAGCUGGUUUGAGAGGACGACCAGCCACACUGGGACUGAGACACGGCCCAGACUCCUACGGGAGGCAGCAGUGGGGAAUUUUGGACAAUGGGGGCAACCCUGAUCCAGCCAUCCCGCGUGUGCGAUGAAGGCCUUCGGGUUGUAAAGCACUUUUGGCAGGAAAGAAACGUCGCGGGCUAAUACCCCGUGGAUCUGACGGUACCUGCAGAAUAAGCACCGGCUAACUACGUG
RNAcentral lists this ribosomal RNA (484 nucleotides) under uncultured bacterium. RNAcentral describes it as "partial 16S ribosomal RNA". It matches the Rfam family "Bacterial small subunit ribosomal RNA", at positions 30 to 507 of the family's 1533-position model. The record is from RNAcentral.